GACCUCGCCGUCUCCAACCAGAUUCAUUUUUACUCGUUAUUUUAAGUGUGAGGCCUUUGCGUGUGGACAGCUGCUGCGGCGGCGGCGGCGGUAGCUCAUGCGAGGCGAGCGCUCUAACCCUAAAGGCCUAAACCCUAAGGCUAUCUGCUGCAGCCAUUCCUGCCGCUUGUUCCACUCGCGGCGGCCGGUGACCGCACCACCGAAACCCACAGCCCUUGGGACCAAAACGGCGGCGAUGACGAAGGGCGCCGCGGUUGGCGCCGGGCCGGUUCCCGAGCGGCGGCCGGCCGCGGAUUCGCGCCUCCACGGGGCCACCCCUCUCUCCGCCCCGCCGCGCCGCGCCGCGUCGGAUUGCGGGCCCUAGUGCGGGCGACGGUGCUGCGGUGGCGAGGGCUGGGGUUGGGGACCGUGGGGGCGGGGUCUCAGCGGCGGGUUCCGGUCGCGGGCACGGUGCCACGGUCGGACGACGCGGGAUCUGAGCCGCCAUUGAGGAAUUUUUUUUGGAGCAUUUGGUUCCGAAUGUUUCGUUUUGGUACGCGCUCUGCCUCCUCCUCUCCUGCUCGUCCUUCUCGUCCUCGCCGUCGUCGUCGUGCCUUUGAUUGCUAAAUUGCAAUUUUUCCUCCUCCGCUCCUCGUCUUUGCCCGAACCCUAGAUCGAAUUGAUGCUGUGCAGGCUCCGAUUCUCCGGAGCGGCCGUCGCUUCAGGUUACCAUCCCUACGGUGCUGCCUCGCUGCCGUUCCGCCUGGAAUCGGUGUCGGUAGGGGCUGGGAACCGUGCGGAGCCGUCUGACGCCUGCGGCUUCCACUGCGCUGCCUUCAUUCGCUUCUUCCUAGAUGGCCAAGAGACUUCCAAACCCUUGAAGAGUCUGUUCUCCUGUCACUAGUACAAACUCCAGCGUCGCAGUGGUGAUCUCCUUACCCUGCUGUUGCCGGUGCUCUGCUCUGGAGGAGCGUUCUUCUCACGACUGAUGGGCCGCUGCCGUCGGCAUAUGCCAGGUGCCCUGGUCUUCGUUGGCUCCUUCGUCAGGUCUUAACUGGGCACUUGGCCGGUGACGAGCACCCACCAGGUGUGCCAACCCCUUAUCUUCACUUCCUAUGCGAAACUGAGCACCCAAACCCUAACUUAAGCUAUUUGGCUAUUUGUAUUCGGAUCUGAUCUACAAGUGUAUACAUGUAUUAUGCCUAUUAACUUUGAUCGCUUUCAAAGAUUAUCGAGCGUACAUGUGCACACCCAUGUUCUUUAUUGGAUCCAUGCCUACGGUUCCGUGUGCUUUGAUCAGCUUUGCUCUGAAUGUUCCUAGCCCUAAAGCUCCUCAUCCUCCCCACCUUGGUGGCAUUUGGAUAGGCAGCACGAAUGGUAUUAUGAUAUGUGAUGAGAUAAAAAAACUCACCUGCUGGGGUAAGGCAGCCCUCGGGGCACGGGCAUUGCAUUAAGAAGUGCAGGUUGAAGGAACCCCCCAAACCCCUGCCCCACCCAUACACUGUGGCACCGUAGCCCAUGUGAGUACGAUCAUGACCGUGGCUGGGCCUUAGACAUGUGUUUUGGCGUGAUAUAGACAAUGAGAUUUUUUUUAACCUGAGCCUGAAAAUUUGCUUCCAUGGGGAAUCAAACCCCAAGACCUACCCUUUCACACGAUGAUGAGAUAUAAGAGCAGCUCCAGUGUGCAUUGAAACCGAACCAUGGGGAGAGAGGAGGAGUAUGGUUUGCUUUCACCACUGCAGGUAUCUAACCAAGCAAAGCGAUUAUUGUAAGCGGUUCAUCCUUUCGGUUCGAACCAAGCCAAUAAAAAGUUCAGUGAGUGGAGUUACUCGCUUACUGCCGUCCUUUGGGCAGUAGGUAUGGACAGAAAUCAGCAUGGAUGCUGCAUUCUUUACUCUUUUCUAUUCUGCUGUGGCCCUCACCAACACUGCUGCACUCACUUCCCUAAAGAGGUGGCUUUCUGGCUCGGGUGAAAGUACCCAGCGGGCAUUGCAUUGCAAGUGAAAUUUACUUAGGGUGACCGUUUUGGACAUGGAAAUGGGCCUGAACCUGUCAAUGGAGUGUCGAUGAAGGGCGAUGAUGUUCUACCUUUUCUGAAUUGCAUAACAUUGAGCAAUCAAGGCAGCUCCGAGUAUCUAAUUAGAGCUGUGACCCUCUCCCCUUCUGAAGUCUAUUUAAUCAUCCUUUUUGUUUGUGGUUCUGCCUAGUAGGAAGGUCAUUUGGAUAUGUGACAACCAGCACAGUUCCACAUACAUUAGAGCAUCUCCAAUAGUUUCCAAAACCCACUUUGAAUCUGUAUUUUUUUGGUAAGAUUGAUAAAAACUGCUCUCCAACAACUCCUUAUCUCAACCGCCAAUCUUUCUGCAUUUGGAUUCAAAAUUGCCUUGGAGUGAGAUUUUGGAAACGAUUAGGAACCCAGCAAAUAUGCUCUCAAUUUUUUCUAGCCACUUGGAAAACUCUUUGAUUUACCAAUUGUUUUUUUGGGAACUAUUGGAGAUGCUCUUAGGACGAGUAAAUUGUGCAGCAGAAGGGAGGGCUUGGUUUCUAUGAUUGAGCAAAGGUGACGCUGAGCCCUGUUUUAUCUUUCAGUCUUUGCAACUAUUCUGCACUUCAAAAUUUUCCAAUAAAGAAGGAAAAAUGCCUAUGUGCUGAGCCACUCAAGCAGCCUUUUUCUUAUAGUACAACUGUCUGAAUUGCCCUCCUCCCCUACCCACCCACACAAGCACACCCAUCCACCCACCCACAAAAAAAAAAACAAUGCAAAAACCUUUUGGCUAACUCGUGGCAGUUUUUGCCGCUGUUGCAGCUGAUGUGAGUUGUGACAGCUAACCUGUUCUUUGAACUGGUUCAAAGUUUUAUUAUAUUUUCUACUCUUGUGUGCUCUUUAUCUGGUUGUUAUUUUAUGCUAUUUUGCAUGUCCUGUUGAUGCUCUACCCUGUUCUCCAGGGGCUAUUCUUCAUUUGCCUUCCUACUGGAUUUGAACCUGGGACCUGGGUCAAUGUUCCGCUCUGUUCGCUUUGGCUGAUAAGUCAUGGCUGAAAGUACUGUUCUCUGAUUUGUUGUGAGAGAAAAACACUGCUGAAUGGCUGUCCAUCUCAUAAGUUCCUACCUGAGUGCCUCUCAAGAAUGAAGAAAUAAAAUUCCAAUGUGGGGGCAAUGAUCAACAACCAUGACUGACAUAAGCGCCUUUGAUAAUCAAGGCUGCUAUGGGUACAAAACUGGAAUCCUUGCUUUCCUCUCUUGGAGACUUUUUCAAUUAUGUUCUGAUGAUAGUGGAUUUGUCCUUGGAUGGUCAUGCCAUUCUUCAUGGGUGAUAACCAGGGCAGCUCCACUUAUCUGAUCAAGUUGAUCUAGUGAUAAGAGAUGAUGGGGAUACAGUUAAAUGAUUGAGCAAAGGCGAAGCUGAGCCCCCAACCCAUACAUACACACCCCAAAAGAAAGAGAAGAAGAUAACAUGACUUUAUUUGAUUUCCUUCAUGUUUUAGUUGAAUAUAUGUUGCUGCUUUGUGUUUUCUUGUCUAACCUACAUAUGUUCUAACUUUAUUCCUUUUGUUGCAUUUUUUUUGAUAAAGGAAGCUUUUAUUAAAACCUUGGAAGCACAUCGAGUUGAUACAAAGCCAAAGAGGACAACUUCAUUCCUUUUGUUGCAUUUGUCUAUCGAAUUCUGUUCCUUUGUAGGUUGAGAUGUUUCCUAAUUUCUGUUGAUUCUGCUAUGAUUUUUUGUAUUGGGCUUGGGUUGCAUGAUGGAUACUUUCUGUUAACUUUGUUUGUCCCAGAAUUUACUGCUGUAAUUUCAUGAGAUGUUUAGAUCAUGUACUCCUGUUGGAGCUGGGUGAGUAACUAUUGUAGCCGUGCAGAGUGUACAUUCUUUUGUUUUUUCUGUUUUUUUUAUCGCUUGUUCUGUCGAUCUUCCUUCUUGUUUGGAACUGUUCUUCAGUGACUGUAAUGAUAAAAUGCCCCAGCCCUAUAGUGCUAUUACUUUGUAGCGUCCUGAAUUGAUACCUUUGGUAUUUUGCUCAAUUUGUUGCUAAACUAGGAUGGCUGAUACCAUAACAAGUAACCAGUUUGCAACUAAUUGUUGUGAUUGCUGCAGUGGAAUUUAGUUUAAUAGUUUAAAUUCCACACCAACCCACCCCAACACACAUGGAUUGAGAUGGAUACAUGGGCAUCCAAACAAGGCCUUACAGAGGGAUGGGGGGAGAACAUGGUGCUUCUACAAGUAUUCUGUUCCACCAUACUUAUAGGUUAUGAUUGUAUUCCUUUCAUCUUAUCCUGCCUUUUCCAGUGAUUUAUACUUGGGACCAGGAUCAUGGUACUAAUGGGACCAAAAUGUCAACUUGGAUUAUAUAUUCCUAACCUGGGUAGAUUUGAUGCAUAUAUUCCUUGUUUCUUUGGUUGGGAUGCCCAAGCUUACUUGGAUGAAUUGCUCAUUUAGUCAUUUUGUUCUAAAGAAUAUUUUCUUUUCCCACAAACACAUAUUUAGCUACUAGCAUUCUUUCAACAAUAAUUUGGGCAACCAGCAAUUGCGUUAGUGGCUUGGAGGUCCCUGGGCUGCUAGUAUUGGCAUUAGUGGUCCAAAUUUGUGCACCAUGACCUUGAUGAAUCUUGAUUGAUCAAACAAAGUAGAUGCGCUAAAUUACUAUGUAUUUUGUAUUACUAUUGUGACAUGGCUGUACUUUUUUGCCAUGUGUGAAAGCUCAGACUUGUGCAGUUCACAUGGGAGCAGGCCAUUUCUUUCGGUGUGCAGCAUAGCCUGCAUUUUUAGGUCAUGGCUCGCAAUUUGGGUUGCAACUAAGGUUGUUUAGGGGUCAAUACUAUAGUUUAUUGGGGGAUAUAAUUAUUCAACCCAUGAAACAGCACAAGGGCACUCUAUCGCAACCUCUCACUCACUGACCACCGCUGCUUGUUGCUCCAACCACUGAUCCGACCACAUGAGCUCUCAAGAAGUUGUCGUUUUGCAUCCAUCUUAGGUAACCAUUACCAUCCUUCUGGCUAAGGAUGGCAACGAGAAAUAGUUUUCUCUAUGCAACUUUAGGGGAAGCCUAGUUUUCCACCGCAGGAUUGUUCUUUGAGAUUUGUGCCAUGCCCUUCUAUGCCUGACAAGCCUGAGUAGUUUCAGAUGGAUCUAUUUUUGUCUCGACAUCCACGCAAUUUUCCUCACCCCCGAGCCCACUUGACAGAAGCUCUCCAUCUCGAAGGCAGAGCAGGAGCAGCACUAUAGUGCAGCUGCCCGGCCGUGACUAGCAAACCUCCUUGACUUCAUCCCGAAGGAGGAACAGGUAACUAGCAAACCACCUUGCACAGCCGAGCAGGUAACUUCUGUUUUUUUGUAAUAUCAUUAUAAACUUACCUUGCUGGAUUGUUCCUUGCAAUUUAGAUGGUAUGAUGUAUAUUUAGGAUUGGAAAUCAAGAUGUUCUAAAUCUCAUAUAUGCAAGCUGUAUCUUUAUACUGUACCAGUAAAAAAACUUCUUGGCGAUUGGCGAUGGUCCUUUGGGUAGAAGUUUGGUCAAUAUGUAAUAGAAAUGACUGUUUUCGCCAGGAAAUGGUUUUCAAUGUGUGGACCCAAUAGCCAACCAUCAGGACUGAUGGGAGCCCUUGAGAGGGCAUUCUGCAAUGUGCCUACAAGACCAAAUGUAUAGACACACACCAUCAUGCUUGAUGGCGUUGUAUUGAUUCUUGAAGUAUCAACAGUUCAGUAUGCUCCAAACUGUUAAGAUUCAAAUUUACCUGACCAUACUAGAUCAUGAAUCGCCAAAAAGAGUCAUGUCUCGAGAUAGUGGCAGCAACAAGUGCAACACAGAUUUGCUUCAGUAAGAACCAAGAAGCAUACUGAAGCUCUGCCUGUUUAAGCCCUGUUCAUAUGGUAAAGUUCAGUUCUGGGGACGACCUUCCUGUUAAUGAGCUGCAAUUGAAUUGUACCAAAUGAAUCACGAAUAUAACACUGGAUGCAACAUCACUUAAUAAAUUUUAGAGUUAUUUGGUCUAUCAUUGUAAAAUGUUUUGUUAGUGGACCAGCUUCAGCUUUCCCUGAGUUUUUCUGCUUUGAACUUGUAUUACCAUGCAAACAUUACAUGGAGAUAACAAUCCCUCAUUUGAAGUUAGGGGUUCUUUCCCCACAAUUACAAGCUU
This is a long non-coding RNA of Sorghum bicolor (sorghum), 6109 nucleotides long. RefSeq lists it as uncharacterized. NCBI's taxonomy places the organism in Eukaryota, Viridiplantae, Streptophyta, Magnoliopsida, Poales, Poaceae. The record is from RefSeq and is a predicted model, not a curated record. The transcript has 3 exons.